RNAcentral lists this ribosomal RNA (491 nucleotides) under uncultured bacterium. RNAcentral's name for it is "bacterial SSU rRNA". It matches the Rfam family "Bacterial small subunit ribosomal RNA", at positions 21 to 507 of the family's 1533-position model. The record is from RNAcentral.
GGCUCAGGAUGAACGCUAGCGGCAGGCCUAACACAUGCAAGUCGAACGGUAACAUGAGUAGCAAUACUUGACGACGAGUGGCGCACGGGUGCGUAACGCGUAUGCAACUUACCUCUAACUGGGGAAUAGCCUUCCGAAAGGAAGAAUAAUACCCCAUAAUAUUUCGAUGUGGCAUCACAUUGUUCUUAAAGCUUCGGCGGUUAGAGAUGGGCAUGCGUCUGAUUAGCUUGUUGGUGAGGUAAUGGCUCACCAAGGCAACGAUCAGUAGGGGGCCUGAGAGGGUUAUCCCCCACACUGGUACUGAGACACGGACCAGACUCCUACGGGAGGCAGCAGUGAGGAAUAUUGGUCAAUGGACGAAAGUCUGAACCAGCCAUGCCGCGUGCAGGAUGAAUGCCCUAUGGGUUGUAAACUGCUUUUAUAUAGGAAUAAACCCCCUCUCGUGAGAGGGGCUGAAGGUACUAUAAGAAUAAGGACCGGCUAACUCCGUG